This is a long non-coding RNA of Daphnia pulicaria, 260 nucleotides long. RefSeq lists it as uncharacterized. The record is from RefSeq and is a predicted model, not a curated record. The transcript is spliced from 3 exons. NCBI's taxonomy places the organism in Eukaryota, Metazoa, Arthropoda, Branchiopoda, Diplostraca, Daphniidae.
AAGUCGUAUAAAAGGCGAGAGAAAAGGCUACGGAAAUCAGUCGAGUGAGCAUCUGCGACACGGCAACAACUGCUGUGCACUAUUUGUCACUAAAUCGCAAUCAUCAUGAUAAACCGUGGCGUCGUGCUGCUGUUGGUUGUUGUCCUCAAAUACUACACCACCGAGGCUUCAAAGUAUUACACUACAAUUUAUGCUUCCCGAGCUGCAUCACCAAAGAGCCCGAACCCACCCCCCAGCAACGGAAACCUGCAGAAGGAAAA